GAAGCGCAAUUUCGCCGCAGAGGGGAGCGGAUCCCCGGGCAAACGAGGCUGAGAUAAUUGAACAGUUCCUCCGCGGAGACCCAGGAGGCCUCCUGACUCUCCCUGGAUCCAAACCCCGCAGGAGGGGGGCGAAGGAGAGGAUCUGGUAGCUGAGAACCAAAUUCCUGCUCCGGGGGGGGUGCCAGAGGCUGGGGCAGGGAGGAGAGAGGGAGAGGGGCCUGUGAGGACAUUGGGGGGGUGUGUGAGAGAGGGGAUGGGUGCCAGGAUGUGGCAGCUGGCUUCUGGCACUGCGGGUGCCAGCCUCCUGGACCCCCACCCACUGACAGGUGUCCCCCUCCCUCCCUCCUUUAAACUGAAGGGGCCAAAUGCAGAAGUUUGCAUUCUCUGGCCUGGUGUCCCCGGCAGCCCCAGGAGGUGGAAAGCGAAGCACUUCUGGUUAUGAGGAGGAAGAGGAAGAGCAGGAGGCUGAGGGUGGGGGCCAAAAGCACAUCGGACGCCCCCUAGCAGAGGGACACAAUUCCUGCUGUGCAUGUGGGGGCAGUGAUAGGGGGGGUGAGAGAAAGAGCUGGAGGACAUUCUCAGCCAGUUUUAAAGGUCCACUCUAUGGAACUGCUGUGAGAAGAAGGCAUGGAAGCAAAGAAUCGGAUGGGACCCCCAAAGGUCAUCCAGCUCAACCCCCUGCAAUGCAGGAAUCCAGCGAAAGAAUCCCAGCCUAAGAACAUAAGAAUCGCCUGACGGAUCAGCCAGUGGCCCUUGCAUCCUGCUCUCACAGUGGGAAACCAGCAAGCAGAAUCGACCCCCUCGUGCCCUCUCCCCUCCUGUGGUUUCCAGGGGCCAUUGCUAGCCCUGCCUAGAAAUGUCGCUGGGGACUGAUCCUGGGACCUUCUGGAUUGGGAGGGGCACCCAACGGUCAUCUAGUCCAACCCCCUGCGACACAAGAAUCGCAGCUCAAGAUUCCCUGGUCGGUGGGCCAUUCGAGCUAUGCUCAAAUGAAGCAAAUCAUUGUUUCGUUGGAAGCUGGGUCGUCGAGUGUAACCCACAAAUUUAGUCCCGUGCUGGAAUCAAAGCUGUGUGUUAUCCACAGUGGUUGGUGCUUCAGAAUAUCAGUCAGUUAUAUCCUACAGUCUUGCGGGGAGGGGGUGACCUGCUCCCACCCCAUGUGCACAGCUGUCAACUUACAGAUUUGAAAAUAAGGGACCAGCAGCCUCGAAAAUAAGGAAUCAGCAGCCAAAAUAAGGGAUCAACAAUUACUUUGAUAAAAUACAUAUUUUGUUGCAUGCAAAUGGCUUUAGAUACCUAUUAGGUCCAUAAAUUACCAUAUAGCACAUAUUCAACACAAACAAACAGCCAACAAUUUGUUAUUGACAAAGGACAGCUGGACAUAGAAAGGGCCCCAUUACCUUCAGGAGCUUAUUUAAGGGACAUCAUCAAUAAGGGACAGCAGCGGGACAUGGCGCUGGGAUAAGGGACUGUCCCGCCAAAUAAGGGACACUUGACAGCUAUGCCCAUGUGCCCCCACCCGAGUCCAAGAGGCAGGAGGGGGCAGCCUCAGGCCAUCACGGUUGCAAGGCCCCCAGUACCAGGCCGUGUUAGGAGUUCUGAAGGUAUAGAAGACCAGGAGAGAUGGGCGCUGGUCCUCACCCUGCCCAGUUCCUCCCAUUUGGGGGGGGUCUUCUUUUUCAGGUGGCUGCAUUCCCAGGACCAACCACUAGAGGGGCACAGAGCCCCACGCUCAGCUCCAGUCCCCACAUUAAGGGGUCAGUCCAGGUUAAGACCACCAGAGGCAGCUCCUCUUUUCGCAAAAGCACCUUGCCUGGAAGUUUUAUCUGGCGGAAUGCUGUUUCCUAACCAGAUACCCCUGGAGCUUUCUCUGCGUCGAUGCACUCUGUGCAUGCUCAGAAACACUCUCAACUUGAUUGUGGUUGGUUCUGGGACAAAACUCUUCAUUCACUGAAAAGCAACUCUGCUGGCGGGAAGGAGGUGCUGGGCUGGAUAGGUGUUGGCCUGAUCCUGGAGUAGUUAUGCAACUGAGACUCUGGGGGAAUCUUUAAAGAAUAUUUAGAAAACUAUGGAAUAAAAGGAAACACCUUGGCAGAAUCAGACUGAUCCCUGUAUUGUAUAAAUAUAAGUUCGUAGGGAGGUAAAAAGAAAUUAUAUAAGAAAUUAGUAACUGUGCAGUAUAAAGUAAUGGAUAGAUAAAGUACAGUGAGAUUAACUAGAAGUCCAUUUUAAAUUUCUUCUCUCUAAGUUUUAUAAUUGUUUUGAGUAUCAGGAGUAUAUAUGAUGAUAAUUAUAUUAAUCUUCUUGUAUCUUAUAGUGUGGUGGUUUGUUUGAUUUUUCUGUUAUUUGUUUGUUUGAUUGUAUGUUUGUUUACUUGUAUGUACGUCUGUUUUCUCAUAAAUGUAUUUAUUUUAAAUUAAUAAAGAUAUAU
Non-coding RNA from Podarcis lilfordi (Lilford's wall lizard), 2431 nucleotides. NCBI's taxonomy places the organism in Eukaryota, Metazoa, Chordata, Lepidosauria, Squamata, Lacertidae. The record is from the annotation of a GenBank genome assembly.